Molecule: ribosomal RNA, 368 nt
Filed under: Erythrolamprus reginae (royal ground snake)
Lineage: Eukaryota; Metazoa; Chordata; Lepidosauria; Squamata; Dipsadidae
Description: partial 16S ribosomal RNA
Rfam family: Bacterial large subunit ribosomal RNA
Source: RNAcentral
UGUCCACUAAUUAUGGACUAGCAUGAAAGGCAAAAUGAGGGUUUAACUGUCUCUUAUAGUAAAUCAAUUAAACUGAUCUACCAGUAAAAAAGCUGGAAUAAACACACAAGACCAGAAGACCCUGUGAAGCUUAAACUAAACUAUUAAAACACAUAAUAACUACUUUUGGUUGGGGCGACCUUGGAAAAAAAACAACUUCCAAACUAGUGAUAAUCAAUCACCACCAGGCCAACAAGCCACAUAUGACCCAGCACACCUGAUAACUGAACCAAGUUACUCCAGGGAUAACAGCGCCAUCUUCUUCAAGAGUCCAUAUCAAAAAGAAGGUUUACGACCUCGAUGUUGGAUCAGGACAUCCUAAUGGUGUA